Molecule: ribosomal RNA, 505 nt
Filed under: uncultured bacterium
Lineage: Bacteria
Description: partial 16S ribosomal RNA
Rfam family: Bacterial small subunit ribosomal RNA
Source: RNAcentral
GACGAACGCUGGCGGCGUGCCUAAUACAUGCAAGUGGGACGCAAGGACACACACUGUGCUUGCACACCGUGUUUUCUUGAGUCGCGAACGGGUGAGUAACGCGUAGGUAACCUGCCUAUUAGCGGGGGAUAACUAUUGGAAACGAUAGCUAAUACCGCAUAAUAUUAAUUAUUGCAUGAUAAUUGAUUGAAAGAUGCAAGCGCAUCACUAGUAGAUGGACCUGCGUUGCAUUAGCUAGUUGGUAAGGUAAGAGCUUACCAAGGCGACGAUACAUAGCCGACCUGAGAGGGUGAUCGGCCACACUGGGACUGAGACACGGCCCAGACUCCUACGGGAGGCAGCAGUAGGGAAUCUUCGGCAAUGGACGAAAGUCUGACCGAGCAACGCCGCGUGAGUGAAGAAGGGUUUCGGAUCGUAAAGCUCUGUUGUAAGUCAAGAACGUGUGUGAGAGUGGAAAGUUCACACAGUGACGGUAGCUUACCAGAAAGGGACGGCUAACUACGUG